RNAcentral lists this ribosomal RNA (191 nucleotides) under Paenibacillus sp. CF384. RNAcentral describes it as "16S rRNA. Bacterial SSU". It matches the Rfam family "Bacterial small subunit ribosomal RNA", at positions 1 to 182 of the family's 1533-position model. The record is from RNAcentral. Lineage: Bacteria; Bacillati; Bacillota; Bacilli; Caryophanales; Paenibacillaceae.
CUUUUAUGGAGAGUUUGAUCCUGGCUCAGGACGAACGCUGGCGGCGUGCCUAAUACAUGCAAGUCGAGCGGAGUCGGAUGGAAGCUUGCUUCCAUCCUGCUUAGCGGCGGACGGGUGAGUAACACGUAGGCAACCUGCCUGUAAGACCGGGAUAACAUUCGGAAACGAAUGCUAAUACCGGAUAUGCAAUU